RNAcentral lists this ribosomal RNA (435 nucleotides) under uncultured bacterium. Its description in RNAcentral is "partial 16S ribosomal RNA". It matches the Rfam family "Bacterial small subunit ribosomal RNA", at positions 29 to 507 of the family's 1533-position model. The record is from RNAcentral.
AGCGAACGCUGGCGGCAGGCUUAACACAUGCAAGUCGAACGGGCAUCUUCGGAUGUCAGUGGCAGACGGGUGCGUAACACGUGGGAACGUACCCUUCGGUUCGGAAUAACUCAGGGAAACUUGAGCUAAUACCGGAUACGCCCUUUUGGGGAAAGGUUUACUGCCGAAGGAUCGGCCCGCGUCUGAUUAGCUUGUUGGUGGGGUAACGGCCUACCAAGGCGACGAUCAGUAGCUGGUCUGAGAGGAUGAUCAGCCACACUGGGACUGAGACACGGCCCAGACUCCUACGGGAGGCAGCAGUGGGGAAUAUUGGACAAUGGGCGCAAGCCUGAUCCAGCCAUGCCGCGUGAGUGAUGAAGGCCUUAGGGUUGUAAAGCUCUUUUGUCCGGGACGAUAAUGACGGUACCGGAAGAAUAAGCCCCGGCUAACUUCGUG